GACGAACGCUGGCGGCGUGCUUAACACAUGCAAGUCGAACGGAAAGGCCCUGCUUUUGUGGGGUGCUCGAGUGGCGAACGGGUGAGUAACACGUGAGUAACCUGCCCUUGACUUUGGGAUAACUUCAGGAAACUGGGGCUCAUACCGGAUAGGAGCUCCUGCUGCAUGGUGGGGGUUGGAAAGUUUCGGCGGUUGGGGAUGGACUCGCGGCUUAUCAGCUUGUUGGUGGGGUAGUGGCUUACCAAGGCUUUGACGGGUAGCCGGCCUGAGAGGGGGACCGGCCACAGUGGGACUGAGAUACGGCCCAGAGUCCUACGGGAGGCAGCAGUGUGGAAGAUUGCACGAUGGGCGGAAGCCGGAUGCAGCAACGCCGCGUGCGGGAUGACGGCCUUCGGGUUGUAAACCGCUUUCGCCUGUGACGAAGCGUGAGUGACGGUAAUGGGUAAAGAAGCACCGGCUAACUACGUG
Molecule: ribosomal RNA, 468 nt
Filed under: uncultured bacterium
Lineage: Bacteria
Description: partial 16S ribosomal RNA
Rfam family: Bacterial small subunit ribosomal RNA
Source: RNAcentral